Panthera uncia (snow leopard) is the source of this 1629-nucleotide long non-coding RNA. RefSeq lists it as uncharacterized. NCBI's taxonomy places the organism in Eukaryota, Metazoa, Chordata, Mammalia, Carnivora, Felidae. The transcript has 3 exons. The record is from RefSeq and is a predicted model, not a curated record.
AUGGGAGCAGGCAGCUGUGGAUGGCCAAAGCAGGGCCACUGGAAGUAAAGCUGGCAUUGACAAGGGCAGACAGGUGCAGAAGGAAACCUGGGUUUGGAUGACAUUGGUCCCUGGACUGGAGAGAGCUCAAGCCCUGGCUGCAAAUCGUUUGUCUUGAAGAGACAUAAAUGAGAACCACAACUGCCAGAAAAUAAGACACUGCUGACUGCGACUGCUGAUAAGCUGCAUAAGGCAGGAGGUCAACAAUCCGGAGACUGCUCUUAAUUAUUAAAGGAUCAACACGUCUUAAUGCACGCAUCCACCGGGGAGGCCAGAGAACCGGGGGCUCCGGGAGAGAAGUCUUCUCCUCUUUAAAUUGGCAAAAACAAACACACGAAGCAGUUGUCCGGGGUGGGGGUGGGGGAGCUAAAGGGUUGCCCCUCUCUCCUAACUCUAAAUUUGGAACCGAGAAUAUUGGCACCUCUUCCUCUCCAGACUCAAGCUGCCGUGUCAUCGAGGAGUGGGUUUGCAGACGUGAUCUCCGUUUAACCAACUGAACCUUGACUCGGCCCCAUGGGCAAGGAGCGCUGGGACCCAACAGCCCAGGGCCCCAGGGGAGCUUUGCGCCACUACUCUGCGUUAGUGCCUUCUCUUGUCCUAAAUUAAGCUCCUCGACAUAUAAUUAUCCAUCCCACACACUGAACCUAUCUCCCAGGUAAAUGUUUCUGCUCAGGGAACACUGGUUCACAGGAUAAAAACAGUCCUCCUCUGUCUCCUCCCUGUCACCACCGCCAGCCCCACGGAUGAGUCCUUGCUGGGUGCCCUGGGCUCAGGGCUGGGCUGCCUGCUGCGGCGAUCACACGAAGCUAUAGGUGAGCCCGAGGAAGUGGUGGUUGUGCCUUUUCUCCCUCCUUUUUUCUUUCUUUCCACAAUUGGAGGGAAAGGCGUCAGGACCGGUCAAGAGCGAUGCAGGUGGAUUUAGUACGAAAAGAAUCAGGACACCAUUCCGUUGCAAUACCUGACAACGUUGCAAAGGAAAAGGGCUUCAUAAAAGCAGCGGCCGGGUGGGUUGUCUCCAAACGCGUGUGGCUCCCGGGAUGAGGAGACCAUCCCGAAAAUUUGGCCGCAAUGCCUAUAAGCUGAAGUACCUGUUCCAGAUCUGUGCCAGAUGAGGUUUCGGGGGAUCUGCAUGAGUACCAGUGAGUUCAUGGCAGCUCCCAGGCUUAAUAAUCAUGGUGUUGCUCUCAGUAGCAGAGCAAGCGAGGAACGGAGACGACAAUUCACUCGGGAAGAACAUGGCAAUGUUAAGAAAAUGGCCAAGAAACAUGGAAAAAUGGGCUCAAACGAAUUCAUAAGCCUGAAAUUCAAAUGACAGCCCUCUAUGUUUAUCUAUCAGGUUUGCAAAGAGAAAACAAACAACAAUACCCUGUGUUGGCAAAGGGUACCGGGGAGUUACUAGAAUCAGACAGACUGGUUUAUGCUUCUAGGCUCUUCCUCUUACUAGCAAAGGGAACUUGGGCAUGUCAUUUAUGUUCUCUAAGACUCUUGUCCUCAUCUGUAAGAUGCAGAUAAUAUUAGUAACCACCUCCAAGGGGGUUUGGGAGAUUUAUGUAAAAUCACGCUUAUAAAGUGCUUAGUGCGUCAUCUGAC